CUACGGAGGGUGCAAGCGUUAUCCGGAAUCAUUAGGUUUAAAGGGUCCGUAGGCGGGCUAAUAAGUCAGGGGUGAAAUCCCACAGCUUAACUGUGGAACUGCCCUUGAUACUGUUGGUCUUGAGUUACAGUGAAGUGGUUAGAAUGUGUAGUGUAGCGGUGAAAUGCAUAGAGAUUACACAGAAUACCGAUUGCGAAGGCAGAUCACUAACUGUAUACUGACGCUAAUGGACGAAAGCGUGGGGAGCGAACAGGAUUAGAAACCCUAGUAGUCC
RNAcentral lists this ribosomal RNA (274 nucleotides) under uncultured bacterium. RNAcentral's name for it is "partial 16S ribosomal RNA". It matches the Rfam family "Bacterial small subunit ribosomal RNA", at positions 523 to 796 of the family's 1533-position model. The record is from RNAcentral.